GAUGAACGCUGGCGGCGUGCCUAAUACAUGCAAGUCGAGCGAACAGACGAGGAGCUUGCUCCUCUGACGUUAGCGGCGGACGGGUGAGUAACACGUGGAUAACCUACCUAUAAGACUGGGAUAACUUCGGGAAACCGGAGCUAAUACCGGAUAAUAUAUUGAACCGCAUGGUUCAAUAGUGAAAGACGGUUUUGCUGUCACUUAUAGAUGGAUCCGCGCCGCAUUAGCUAGUUGGUAAGGUCACGGCUUACCAAGGCAACGAUGCGUAGCCGACCUGAGAGGGUGAUCGGCCACACUGGAACUGAGACAGGGUCCAGACUCCUACGGGAGGCAGCAGUAGGGAAUCUUCCGCAAUGGGCGAAAGCCUGACGGAGCAACGCCGCGUGAGUGAUGAAGGUGUUCGGAUCGGAAAACUCUGUUAUUAGGGGAGAACAAAUGUGUAAGUAACUAUGCACGUAUUGACGGUACCUGAUCAGAAAGCCACGGCUAACUACGUG
Molecule: ribosomal RNA, 497 nt
Filed under: uncultured bacterium
Lineage: Bacteria
Description: partial 16S ribosomal RNA
Rfam family: Bacterial small subunit ribosomal RNA
Source: RNAcentral